RNAcentral lists this transfer RNA (1204 nucleotides) under Capra hircus (goat). RNAcentral's name for it is "lncRNA (ENSCHIG00010025344.1)". The record is from RNAcentral. Lineage: Eukaryota; Metazoa; Chordata; Mammalia; Artiodactyla; Bovidae.
GUGGGGGCAGGAGCAUGGGUCUUAACCACUAGACCGCCAGGGAAGUCCCUGAUUUAGUGAUUUAAAGUCUGUUUCAGUUUGAAAACUGCUUGUUUGUUUUUUGUCUGCACCGGGUCUUCAUGUGGCAUUUACUGGGGCAGUCCCCGGGUCUGAUGGUGGCACCGGGUCUUUGUGUGGCAUUCACUGGGGCAGUCCCCGGGUCUGAUGGUGGCCCUGUGGACUUCAUUGUGGCGUCUGUGUCAGUUGUGGCAUGUGAAACUCUGAGUUGCGGCAUGUAGGAUCUAGUUCCCUGGCCAGGGAUCGAACCUGGGCCCUCUGCAUUGGGAGUGCAGUCUUAGCCUCUGGACCACCAGGGAAGUCCCACAGCCGCUAUUCUUGAUGCUCCAAAACCGACGCAGAUGUCGUCUCCUUCAGACCCUCUCCUUUGUGCCUUUGACAUGAUCUCAUUAAUAUACUAGUUUUUUGAGGACUUUCUUGCCUUCUCAACAGCCAGCUGUCCCAGUUUUGCUUUAAAUUUUCCCAGCUUUGGCCAUGGAACUAGCCAUUUCUCUAAAUAGCUCUAGGGCCUUUUAGUGGGAAAUGGUGUUUGAAACUAAGAUCUGGGAGCUAGGUAUGCUCAUUGUUACUGGGUUGUCCUUGUCUGUAAGUCCCUUUAGUCAACAGAACUAUAAAAUACUUUUUAUUGUUAAAUCAUAAGUUCCUAUUGGUAUUUCCAAUUCAGAAUUAACCUGUUUUUUCUUUUACAUUUCAUUUUCUCUUUAAUAAAAAAAAUCUUGCUUUCUAUUGAUAAUACUGUUCCUUACUUGCUUCAUUCUGCAGGCAUCAUAUGUUUUAGAAUUAUAGUAAUUGGUAUUCUUCAUUAAUUCUUAGUUUACUUUAGUCUCUAGAAUAGAGGUUAAGAUGUCUUGGGAAUUCUCUGGUGGUCCAGUGACUGGACUCUGGGCUUUCCCUGACAUGGGCCUGGUUUCAGGAAACUAAGACUCCACACGCUGCAUGGCAUGACGCCUCCCAAAGGUUUGAGACGCCUUUGGGGUGUGUCUUUUGUUCCUUAGGAUUUCUCCCCCUAAAGAUGUGUGGUCAGGGUAUCAUGUUCACAAUGAGCUUGAGAUCACUGUAUUCUUUGUAUGGUACUCUAAACACAUGAUACAGUUAGAUUAACUUCUCUGUUCGGUGUUUGGGUGUGCUGCUUCUGUUUUUGGUUUGC